AGGACCACAUAAAUCCAGAUGGAUCAGCGGCAAAUCGUUGGAGACUUUGCAGUGUCCAGCAAGUGGAAGAAGUGAAAUGCGUUUUGAGAGUAAUUCCCACAUGGUUUGCGGCUGUUAUCUUCCAUCUUAUGAUCAAUCAGCAACAUACCUAUGCUGUCUUCCAAGCUCAGCAAUCCAACAGACGUCUUGGAAACAUUAGCUUCAAAAUCCCAGCAGCAUCUUAUGUGGUCUUCAUGAUGCUUAGCAUGACCAUUUGGAUACCUAUUUAUGACAGAAUUUUUGUCCCAUUUCUCCGAAGGCUCACAGGAAAAGAAGGCGGCAUCACACUGCUUCAAAGAAUGGGCAUCGGUAUAGGCAUCUCCAUAAUAACCAUGCUAGUAUCUGGGGUUGUUGAAGAGCACCGAAGAACCACAGCUCUUACCAAGCCUACCGUAGGGUUUCAACCAAGAAGGGGUGCCGUUUCAUCAAUGUCUGGUAUGUUUUUGAUUCCUCAGUUUGCACUAGCUGGACUGGCAGAUGCUUUUACUUCCAUUGGACUAGUGGAAUUCUACUACAAGCAAUUUCCUGAGAACAUGCGGAGCGUUGGAGGGUCGUUAUUCUUUUGUGCAUUGGCAGGUUCAAGUUAUUUGAGCAGUUUAUUGAUAACUAUUGUUCACCAAACCACACAAGGAGCAGCAACUGGAAAUUGGUUACCAGAAGAUCUGAACAAGGGAAGACUGGAUUACUACUAUUACAUGAUUGCUGGCUUGGAGGUUUUGAAUUUAGGAUACUUUUUAGUAUACGCUAGGUGGUACGAGUACAAAGAGACAGGCACAGGCUCAGCUACUACCAUUGAGUUUGAAGCGAAUGGUGAGGUGAAGCAAUCUGAUAAAACUUUAGUUUAAUGAUGACUAUAUUCAUGUUAGGCUAUGAUAAAACUGCGGGGCUGUUUAGUUCAGCUUCAGCACUAGGCUAAGGGGAGAGUCAUUUUCUCGGUAGUGAUUAAUGAUUCCUUAUCCUAGCUUGUUUAGCAGAAGAUUUUAAUUGAAUUAGAUAGAUGCAGACCCGAAUGAUGAAAUAAUGAUGAAAUUUAACAUACUCUUACUUCUGUUGAAAGUUCUUUCAAUACUCCCUGGGAUGAUUCCUGCCUUGCGCAUACCGCAACGUCAAACCAUUAUGGAAUUUGAAAGAGAUUGCUUCAAAUUUUUAAGUAAAAAUUAAAAUAAUCUUAACCCUUCUAUAUAAUCUCUCAACUUAUGAACUAACAAUUCAUAUCAAGAAAACAACUUUAAGCAAUGUAUAGGAGCAGAGAGUGCAGCACCAAAUAUAUCUAGAGUUUCUAACCGCUUGUUGCCCAAAAUAUUACAACCGAAGCAUUUGCCUAUCAACUAUCAAGAGUUUGUCCUUAGUACAGUUGAUUUAAAGAACGGCGAACCUUAGACCUUACUGAUAUAAGCAUCAAAUGCCACGACAGAAAUAAGUACAUACUGUGGGCAUUUUGUGGCGAAAGUUAAGAGCAGAGAUGAAAACAGAAAGAUAAAUACUCACCACAGCACUCUGACGUGCUGGAAAGGAAAAUAUACUAGCACAAAAUAACACUCUUGUUUGGCGGGUAACUUGCAACAACAUGCUGAUUACAUAUCUUCACAGCACCAGGAAAUGUUUCUUAAUAGAUAACGAUUACGUCAAUAGAUGAUCUCUUAGACCGUGUAAGCUUGCUGAAUCGUGUCUAUGUCAAGGCCUUUCAAUCUCACAUGCAUCAGCAUCAAACAUUGAAAAGAGCUCCAAAAUUAAACAAGGAAUCCGCGAGCAAUUAAUGUAAUUAUUGGAUUUAUAUGAUAUCAUAAACAAGGAGAAAUUCUACAAUACAUAUGAUAUUCAAUGUCAUCUGAUGACGACGUAGAAUCACUAACCAAUAACUUUUUUACGUGUGUCGGUUAAUUUUUUUAUGGACACAUGUUUGUCCAUAAAAAAACAAUGAAUCAUACAAUUACAAAAAAUAUCCAGCAUCAAUAUCUUAACUUGUUUUACAGUACAUUAAACAAACAUGUGGUGGGCAAAAGAAAAAUUUAGUGAAUGGUUCUUAGCUCCUUUUGCAAAUGUUUGAAAUAUGACAACCCCCAACCUUAAUUCACUUUGCAGAUAUAAAAAUAAUCUUGUUUUGAUACUCCUUUUGCUUCCCAUUCACAAAUCCAUUCCCGUAGAAAAUCCUGCCACUAGCUUAAUUAGAAAAUUUGUUGCAUUUUUUUUUUUUUUUUUUUUUUGUUGCAGGGGAAUGGAGUUGUAAAUGGGAAGGAGUAUGAAACCAGACUCUUUGUAGCCAUUUUAUUCAAUUUAUUAUUUUUAUAACCUUUAGUAAAUUAAUGUUUCUUGGAAUUUGGAAGAGAGAAGAAGAAUUUUUUAAACUAGAGCAGAGAAAGAGAAAUGGAAGGAAUUGUUUGACUUUUAAUUAUUAAAAAUUAAUUGACACAUGUAAAAAUAUUAUUGGCUAAUAAUUCUACAUCAUCAAAUGACACGGAAUAUCAAAUAUAUUGUAGGAUUUCUCUAUAAACAUAAGUAGAUAUUGGGUUCCGCAUUUACCACUGAUUGAGAAGGAGGUGGCAUAGAAUUUUGCGCGUUUUAGCUUUUUUUUUUCUGCUUACUUUUUCCUUUCUCUGAUUAUACAUCAAAUAUUUUGUUUCCUGAUAAGUUUCAACCAAUCAAUGAAGAUUAUAUGAUUGGGGUGGAGUUGAGGUCAGGAAUGACGUGUUGGUCCAAUAACGGAAAAAGUGAGUUGAGUUGGGGCACUACGUGAUUUUGGGUCCUUAUCUAACUAGUAUCAUUUCGUCAUUUACACAUUAAAUUUGAUAUUUGUAUUGUCAAGGCUUAUUUUAUAUAUUACUUAUGAUUGGACCCCUACUUGUCAGUAGCCAAGGUUUGAAGAUCAAUUUCUUAUUCAAUUUCCCGACUCACUUUCUUGCUUUUGUUUAAACUGCGUCAAGCGAAUAGUAGGGCAUGAUGAGUCAAGGGAGUGUCUGUUGGGACUCAAUUAGUGAGUGGUGAUUCUGGUGAAUCAAGCGGAUAUUAAUUGGGUAGCGUCGAUGAUACGAUAAUGAAAGUAUUUUUGGGCCUUAAGUUUAAUAUAUUGGUCCAAUUUUGGACUCUUGUUUAAGCUUUGACUAAGAUUGUGGAUGACAGAAGUGUUCGAGUCAGAAAAUACUUGAGUAAAAUGUGAGCAAUGGUGUUAGGAAGGAUACAAAGCUCAUCCUGUAGCUCUAGCUGCUUUCUACAUAUAACCCCAUUGACAAAGCACACGUACUGUUUAAUAAUUACUGGUUACAAAGCACCAAUUCAGAAUGAAAGCAGCAGAGAAAGAAACGGAGGAGAAGAAAGAGAAUGGAACCUUAGAGUUGGAGAAGAUUUAUGAGAAUAGAACCAUGGAAUUGGAGAAGGUUAAGAAAACUGUGGGAAAUGAUCAUGAUGAGCCCAAGAUUCACUACCGAGGAUGGAAAGCUAUGCCCUUCAUCAUAGGUGAGCUGGAGUGGGCUGAUUGCUUGCUUCCUUCAUGUUUCUUUAUUUUUACAACCUACUAAAUAAAUGAAACAUAAAUAAAAUAUCUAAAGUAAGUAAGUAUAACAUUAUUCUAUUCUAAUAUAUAUUAGCCGGGCAAAUAUAUAUCUCCAAAGUGUGUGUACAAAAGUCUUAUUUUAAGUGACAUAAAGUUCCUAAUUAUGUUCAAUAGACCUCUAAAAAUGCUUAAAAUGUAUGAAUUUAUACUCUCAUGAGACUCACAUUGCAAUAUAUUCUUAGAAUUAUAACUUCAAUAAAUAAAUAAACAAGUAGAGAAUUAAAAAAAAAAGGUUAUUAAAAUUUUAAUAUAAAAAAGCUAAAAUAUAGGGCUCGCUUGAUUAAAGUUAAAAAUUAUGGGAUUGAAUAAUUUCAAUGUAAAAUAAUCUUUAUCUCACGUUUUAUUUAUACAUAAAAGUAGAUGUAGAAUAAAAAAUUAUGGGUCCAUCUUUUAAUCCUAAAUAGUGAAAAAAAAAUCAAUCCCAAGCCCGGGGACCCCCUGGGUUUGUGUUUUUUAAAUUAAAAUUUUAUCCCACAACCACUCACAGGAUUAAGUGAUAAAAAUCCCAAGUUUCUGUCUAUUGUUAUGAACUCUUUGCCAAAAUCAAUUGCAGAAUAUUAUAACUUCAUUGUUAUGAGUUGCUGGACUAAUGUUCAUACUAUUUUAUCAUUUUAAUGAGUGUGACAAAAGAAAAUGCAAAAAAAUAAAAAUAAAAACACACACACACACAAACAACGAGCAAUUUUUUCUUUUUUCAGCGUUUGGUGCAAUAACUAAUUUAAGAUAAAUAAAAAAGAAUUAAUUUAAGAUAAUUUUGAGAAAAUUAAUGUAAUUAGCUACUAGCCAAUCCCAUAACAUAUCAAAUACAAGACAAGAUUAUUAUUAAAAUUUGAUAAACACAAUAUUUUAUAAAUAAUCUGCAUACCAAAUAGGUCCGUAUAAUAACAUUAUAAAAAUAGUAGGAAAGAAAUAGUAAAAAAUCCAAAUAAUAUAUAUAUAACAAAUUAUAUAUUAAAUAAUAAUUUUGAUUGCGGACCUACAAAUUAGAGUACGAAUUGAGUUUCUCUUACACUCAAUACGAAACAAAUUAAUUAAGUCGGCUGCGCAGGAUUUGCUAUUGCUCAGGUUAAAAUCAUUUGCCGGCAAAUAUUAUAUAUAUAACAAAUUGUAGGCGAAAGCAACGGAUUCAACACUCGUGCAACUUUUGCUGUGGUUCAUAACAAAACAAAAUUAAUUCCGUGAGACCCUUUGCUUGCUUUAAUCAGUAAUUCAUAACCUUUAAAAACGAUAAGAAUGGUGAUGGUAAUUUCAGACGUCACUGGCAUGCCCCGUUUGCCAAGCGCACAGUUUUUGCCUAAACUCCUGAAUAGAUGGCAAAAUGAUGCCAUCUUAAAUGGGAUGAAUUUUUAACGAAUGGUGCGGAGAAUGAAAAAUAAAAUAAUAGUAAAUUUUUUACACUCAUUAAAAAGAUUUAAAAGAUGAGAGUUUUUGUUAGUUGAUUUUGCUGAUCGGAGCUGUGUGUACAUGUAUAUGUAUAUAUUAGUUAUUAUUUAUUUAAUUUUUAUUUAAUUUUUUUUAUAUUAUUUUAAUAUGUUGUUUUUUAUUAUAUUAAUGAUGGUCGAAAAAUCUAAUAUAAAAUAGAUAAAUAGGAGAAUGGGUAGACACGAGUAAGUUGAUUUUCCAUCUCUACCUCCAUUAUAUUUAUUGAAGAAUAAGCCAAAUUUUUAAUCGGAUGAUGAAUGGAGAUGGUCUCUCCACCUCUACCCUGUCUUGUCGUUAUUAUUCCUACAAUAUUCCUACAAUAGUCAAGUGGCCAUAGAGAGAAUAGAUAAAUACAAGUUUCAUUAUAUAAUUCUAAUUUAAACUAUUAAUAUGAAGAGGAAAAAAACAAUUGAUACGUCGCAAACGUUGAAAUCAUCACAAAAAGACACCGAGGUAUCUUCAAAUUGUUAAUUAGUUUCAAAAUCCGUUAUUGAGAAGAGAUAUUGACCCCGUUUCAUACUUGUGAGUUACGUAUAACCCCAUUGACAAGCAUACGUACUGUUUAAUAAUUACUGGUUAUAACGCACCAAUUCAGAAUGAAAGCAGCAGAGAAAUGAAAAGUGGAGAAGAAAGAGAAUGGAACCUUAGAGUUGGAGAAGAUUAAUGAGAAUAGAACCAUGGAAUUGGAGAAUGUUAAGAAAACUGUGGGAAAUGAUCAUGAUGAGCCCAAGAUUAACUACAGAGGAUGGAAAGCUAUGCCCUUCAUCAUAGGUGAGCUGGAGUGGGCUGCUUCCUUCCUUCCUUCAUGUUUCUUUUGUUGUUGUUGUCGUCCUUUUUUUUUCCCCAAUUAUUGUUGUUUUUACUGUUGAGUAACAAAUUUCAGGUAAUGAGACUUUUGAGAAGCUGGGAGCCGUUGGCACUUUAGCCAACCUGUUGAUCUAUCUUACUUCUGUGUUCAACAUGAAAAACAUUACAGCUGCAACAAUUAUCAACAUCUUUAAUGGCACCGCCAACUUUGGCACCAUGAUUGGAGCUUAUCUUUGUGACACCUACUUUGGUCGCUACAACACAUUGGGAUUUGCUACGGUUGCUUCGUUUUUGGUACUAGCUUCUGCUCUUGAGCAGCGAGUUUCGGUUAUUAAAUUUUAUAUUGGUUACCAUUUCUAGCUGAGCUAAGAUAUAUUAUUCUACUAACUGAUCCGAAAAUAAUACGUACUUCAUAUAAAAACCUGUCACAAUUUGAAUUCUGUCAACCAUAUGGUAUAUUACAUAUUUAGUUGAUAUUCAUGUGAAUCUAAUUCUUAAUUUUUGGUGAAGGGGUUGCAAGCAAUACAACUAACGGCGGCAAUUCCAACUCUUCAUCCUCCCCACUGUGCAGCAGAAAGUUCAACGUGCAAAGGGCCAACAGCAGGACAAAUGGCAUUUCUGUUAAGCGGGUUUGGACUGAUGAUAAUAGGAGCUGGCGGCGUCCGGCCAUGUAACUUGGCAUUUGGAGCAGACCAAUUCAAUCCUAAUACUGAAUCUGGAAAAAGGGGUAUUAAUAGCUUCUUCAACUGGUACUUCUGCACCUUCACUUUUGCUAUGAUGGUGUCUUUGACCCUCAUUGUCUAUGUGCAAUCCAACGUGAGUUGGGCUAUUGGUUUAGCAAUUCCGGCGUUGCUGAUGUUGAUAGCGUGUGUCGUCUUCUUCAUGGGUUCAAAAAUAUAUGUUAGGGUCCCAGCCACUGGCAGUCCAAUGACCAGUGUGGCACAGGUCCUAGUGGUUGCAAUAAAGAAAAGGCAGCUAAAGCAACCAGACCAACCUUUACUUUCUCUGUUUAACUAUAUUCCCCCAGGUUCUAUCAACUCCAAGCUCCGUCAUACAGAUCAAUUCAGGUAAUUAACAUCUAGCAUUGUGCUUCUCGGUUGUCUCGCUCUCACUAUAGAUGUGAGUCAUAGGAGCUAAGUUAACAACUUAUUAAUUUGUUAUCAGAUUUUUAGACAAAGCAGCGAUGCUGACACCCGAGGACCACAUAAAUCCAGAUGGAUCAGCGGCAAAUCGUUGGAGACUUUGCAGUGUCCAGCAAGUGGAAGAAGUGAAAUGCGUUUUGAGAGUAAUUCCCACAUGGUUUGCGGCUGUUAUCUUCCAUCUUAUGAUCAAUCAGCAACAUACCUAUGCUGUCUUCCAAGCUCAGCAAUCCAACAGACGUCUUGGAAACAUUAGCUUCAAAAUCCCAGCAGCAUCUUAUGUGGUCUUCAUGAUGCUUAGCAUGACCAUUUGGAUACCUAUUUAUGACAGAAUUUUUGUCCCAUUUCUCCAAAGGCUCACAGGAAAAGAAGGCGGCAUCACACUGCUUCAAAGAAUGGGCAUCGGUAUAGGCAUCUCCAUAAUAACCAUGCUAGUAUCUGGGGUUGUUGAAGAGCACCGAAGAACC
RNAcentral lists this long non-coding RNA (7421 nucleotides) under Citrus maxima (pomelo). Its description in RNAcentral is "long non-coding RNA (CMAX_LNC002065)". Lineage: Eukaryota; Viridiplantae; Streptophyta; Magnoliopsida; Sapindales; Rutaceae. The record is from RNAcentral.